This 3269-nucleotide long non-coding RNA is filed under the name Ictidomys tridecemlineatus (thirteen-lined ground squirrel). Its description in RNAcentral is "lncRNA (ENSSTOG00000032469.1)". The record is from RNAcentral. Lineage: Eukaryota; Metazoa; Chordata; Mammalia; Rodentia; Sciuridae.
UACCUCUUUGUACAUUCUCGGCAAGCUGCAAGUUCCUUUAGACAACACCCACACCAGCCAGCCCAAGGCCCCCGCCUCCUGCCUCCUGUUUCCUGUCUCCUACUGCUCUUGCUCAGCUCCACCCCAAAUGGGGGCUCACCGUGGGACCCCGUGCUCCGUCUGAUCUCCGCUUCUUGAUUUGAUUCAUUCUCAUCAGUUCUAGUCCCCUCUCAAGGAACAACCGGGGAGCAGUUUGAGGAGCAUCUGUAUCUGCUUAGAAAGUGUCUUGAGCAGAGUUCUCCACUGCUUCCCUUAGGAUUUCAGGCUUCCUCGGCGGUCUGACCUUCAGUGAUCUCCAAAGUGGAUAUCUUAAGCUUCACGGAGAUCAUUUCCAUCUAUUCCAGGACCCAGGGGCAAAGGAUGCAUGUGCAUAUGUGUGCCUGUGUGCGUUGCAGAGAGCUCGGGAACAAACAGGACACACCCAUGAUUUAGGUUGUAUUCUCCAUUUCUACUUUUGGAACAAUUUCCUUUCUUUGGGUUCUGUAUAGUUAGUUAUUUAGCAGAACUAUUUGCUUUAAAGUUAUUAUUUUUGAAACAAAAAAUUUCAAACCUUUUUUUUUCCCCCUCUUUUAAUAGCACAAAGUAGCUUGGAUGAUUAUAGCAAACUUUCAAAGUCAUUGCCUCCAAGUGUCCUUUUCACGGUAGCAGGAUUUUCACAGUAGCAGCCCUGAAAUCUGACUAUUAAAAGAGUUCUUGCUAAGAAUUGUGAGAAUUGUGUCCUUACAUAUUCUGAGAGUGUUAUGGUUUGAAUUUUGUUCCCUUGGAACUCAAAGUACGGCCUUAGUUGGAAACAGAGUCUCUGUAUAUGCACUCAAGGUAAGAUUGUCACAUGAUUGUGCUGGUAUAAGGAGAGAGGGGGCACAGAGACACCAGGGAGAAGACAGACUUGGCCAUGUGUAAUCAGGGGCCAGGAUUGAGGUGACACCUGUAAAAGCCAACUGUGCUAAAUAUGGCCAGAACCACUGGAGGGACACGCUCUUCCCUGGUCUUCAGAGUCACCGCGGUCCUGCUAACAUUUACAUCUUGGAUGUUUUGUUUCCAGGACUGUGUGAGAGAACAUAUUUCCAAAGUUUCAAUCCUUCCAUGUCUGUGGUACUUAGCUUAUGGUCACCCUAAGAACUCAUCAUGGAACACAGGACUUCAGCUAUGUAGGGAACAUGUCCACCAUCGAUUGUCCUUGCCAUGGCCGGCCAUCUAAAGGAGAAUUGUCAAACGAUUAAUAAUACCAGUCCACAUUUACUCAGCACUAAGUUAGUCCAGUUCUUGUCAGAACUUGAUGUCUGUCAGCUGACUUCAUCCUACAGCUACCUGUGUGAGGUGAGACACCUUUGACAGGUGAGGAAACUGAAUAGUGUGCCCAGAGUUACAGAGCUGGGGGAACUACGGUCUGAACUCAGUUUGACUCCAGAGCCUUCUCUUGUACCCAUUGUUCCCUUCCUGUGUACUCCUUCCAGAAUUCUACCAUGUGGUGCUUUUUUAAUUUUGGAGGGGUAAAGACAGAAGGAAGCAAACGACCACUGAUGAGCCCCAUUGCAAGUACACGGUGUGUGCAUAUGGUGCACCUUACUUCAUUCCUUAACAUUCAGUCCUUCCAGGUAGUUAUUCGUGUGACCCAGAGACAAAGAGACUGAGGUCACACGGAGAAACCUGCCCUUGGUGAGUAGUUUGCAAGUGAUUUGAACCUGAAACCAAUAAACAGCAUUAUGUGCGGGGUGUACCUUCUCUUUAUAAUAACCUUGUAAGGUAGGUGACUUGGGGAGACACAAGAAUGAAGUAGCAGAAAUGAAAAGAAAGUCUAGAGUGGGCUUUGAGAUAGUCAGCGACCACCACAGGGACAAAGGGCAGAUGCAGUCCUGAGACCUUAACUCAUGACCAAUAUGUUCCCCAUUAAAAGUACCACGGAAACUGAAGGAGCCCAAGCCCCAAUUAUAACAGGGACGUAGAGGCCACCUGGGAUAAAGUGCUGACUCUUCACUGCCCUGUGGGUAGCUGGAAGCAGGACAGAUCUUGGUAUCUCUGCCUUCAUUUUCCAUCUGUCCCCUUUGCCUUCAAUGUUGGAUCAGAUUCCUGCUCAGCUCUGCACAUGGGCAUGCUAAUCAUUUAAGGAGUGUUGAUCUAAAACUGAUAAUGCACCCUUUCCAGGCUGAAGAGACCAAGACAAGACUAACUCAAGUAUUUUCAACAGAUCGUCAACUGCCAGCUUUCACAACAUCCUGUUCCAGAUCCUUGGAGUAGCCUAGAAGUCUCUAGAACCACCUAGAAAAACCAGAGCGGAAGUAAUGAUCACCAGAACCUGGUCCAUCCCUGCCACCCCAUAAAAUGCCUGUUACCUCCCUGUUUGGGGCUCAGCUUGAUCACUUUCUCCCUCAGGGCUGUCCCCCGUCUCCUGCAGGUCAGACCCAGCAAUUAAAGCUCUGCCUGUGUUCCGGUUCCUUGGCCCAGCGUCCUUUCUGUCAUCCCUGGGUAAGAAGUUCCUGCGUCAGUUCCAGCUGCGGAAGGCAGUGCCUGCCCCAGGGAACCAGCAGGAUGUAGAUCUAUCCAUCAGGCUGGACUUGCUUUGGUUAAGAGAGAGGGUGGGAAAACGGAAGAAAGGGCCGAGCCUGGGAUCACAGUAGCAUUGCAUGAAGGAGAGGAGAUGAAGUGCAUGAGGAUAUGGCUCCUGCUGACUUCUGCAGCAGCAUGACUGAUCUCCAGGUAGUCAAGCUGCUUUCUCUGUGCUUCUAGGUCAGCUUGUUCAUGGAGCCUGGUGGAGGCUGCCAUGUGCAGCUGGUGGGGUGAGCAGCCAGUGUUCAGGACUAAACUGUUCAAGAUUUGGAGCCCACUGGCUCUCGCAGGUGCUUGGGUUGCCCGUGGGCCCUUUGGCCAAGGAGGGAGAUCCCUGGUAUCAAUGGCGGUGUCAGCAUACCUGGAAUUGUCAUUUUCCAGGAGAGAAUCUGAAACUUACAGAGUGCCAGUACCUUGUCCAGGUUAAAUAGUAAAUAAAUGUCAGCUCUAGGGCACGAAGUCAGGUGUAUCUGGAGUGUUAAACCACGCAGCAGAACAUAGCAAUGCUCUCUCUUGCAUGCACGAGUUUCCAUGGGCCUUCCUUUUGCAAUUUGUACAUAAGCAGUUCCUUCUUCUGUUAUCUAAACUUUGUAAGAAGAGAUUCCAGAAGCUUGUGUAGUGGAGAAGAACAUCAGAUGUUGGCCACACGAGAUUUAGAAACUACUUCUGAUAAUUUUAGCUUCUUU